Molecule: non-coding RNA, 63 nt
Filed under: Clostridiales bacterium PH28_bin88
Lineage: Bacteria; Bacillati; Bacillota; Clostridia; Eubacteriales
Also listed under: 1 other name
Description: Fluoride riboswitch aptamer (crcB RNA motif)
Rfam family: Fluoride riboswitch aptamer (crcB RNA motif)
Source: Rfam by way of RNAcentral
AACGAAAUAGGCGAUGGAGCUCGCCUUAACCACUGCCAAGCAGUUGAUGGCUCCUACCGGGGA